GCUGGAAAGGUGUAUCAGUAUGACGUUUCCUCAAAGACAAUUUUCUUAGCACAUCUCUGAAAACUGUCUUGUGUUUACACUUUACAGUUGUAUAAUAUUUUCUUAGCAUCCCUUACGAAAUUAUUUCUCCAAAGUUUCCUGAAAGUUACAGCUUACAAAAAAUCGAAAAAGAAUUAGGAAAAAUAAUAUAAAAUCGCCGAAUACUUAUAUUAUUCGUUUUCUCUUUUUGAGUCUUUACAAGUGAACUACUCGCAUAUGAUAAUAAUGGCCCGUUUGGUUCCACUUUUUCAGUCCAAAACGGGCGUUUUCAAAAAAGCCAAGCCACGUUCUGCGUUUGGUAAAGUUCAAAACGCAACUUUUUUAUAAAAGUUGCGUUUUGAACUUUUAGGAAAGCUGAAGGCAAAACGCGCAUAGAAAAUGCACCUUCAGCUGUCCAUAAAUCAAAACGCGCAUAGCGCGUUUUGUUAUAUUACCGUUGCAUGAGUUGAAAGACCGAAAUACCCACACGCCCCUCAUCUCUGAUCUCUGCUCUCCAUUUCGCAUUUGACGCCUCCAUCUUCUUCUCUCUGCGUCGUUCACUGUUCAGGUGAAGAUGAGCAGAAAAGGCUGUCUGGGAGGUAAAGGCUUAUGAUGGGGUGAUGAAGGAUGGAGAGAGAAUAUUUAUAAAACUUGCUAAGACAAGGGAAAUAAAAACAAGAGAAUUGAAGUGUGUCAAGUGCAUUAAGGAUGAAGAUCAGAGAGUGUUUGAUGCAUGAGGCAGUGAGAAGACAGAUUUAUUAUAUUUUAUUUGAUUUUAAGUAUCAAGGGCAAUUUUGUGUUGUACAAUUUAAACUUAGAUUAUUGAUAUGUAUUUUAUAUGUUUUUACAUUUUUAUGUAGUACAAUUUAAACUUAGAUUAUUGGUGUAUAUUUUAUCAUCUUUUUACAUUUUUA
Molecule: long non-coding RNA, 932 nt
Organism: Quercus robur (English oak)
Lineage: Eukaryota; Viridiplantae; Streptophyta; Magnoliopsida; Fagales; Fagaceae
Exons: 2
Source: RefSeq, a predicted model, not a curated record